AAAGCGUCCGCAGGCGGCCUUGAAAGUCUGUUGUUAAAGCGUGGAGCUCAACUCCAUUUCAGCAAUGGAAACUACAAGGCUAGAGUGUGGUAGGGGCAGAGGGAAUUCCCGGUGUAGCGGUGAAAUGCGUAGAUAUCGGGAAGAACACCAGUGGCGAAGGCGCUCUGCUGGGCCAUAACUGACGCUCAUGGACGAAAGCCAGGGGAGCGAAAGGGAUUAGAUACCCCAGU
Molecule: ribosomal RNA, 230 nt
Filed under: uncultured bacterium
Lineage: Bacteria
Description: partial 16S ribosomal RNA
Rfam family: Bacterial small subunit ribosomal RNA
Source: RNAcentral